This 236-nucleotide long non-coding RNA is filed under the name Gossypium barbadense (sea-island cotton). RNAcentral's name for it is "long non-coding RNA (GBAR_LNC006070)". The record is from RNAcentral. Lineage: Eukaryota; Viridiplantae; Streptophyta; Magnoliopsida; Malvales; Malvaceae.
GAAAAUCUCUUUAAAGUUGAAAAAAAUCAAAGUUUGAUCCUUGAGCUUUUGAAAUUAUACUCUCCAUCUGUUGAUGAAAGGCUAAGGAGGCUUCUAGUGAAACUUAGAGCGAGAUGAAGAGCCAAAGGAAGCAAUAGUAGUGAAGCUGCCAUAGCAACAACAGAGAAUCGAUUUUCUUAAAACCUAGUAGAAGUUCUUCAAGUCAUAGAGAAAAGAGUUAACAAAUUCAAAGGAGG